This 28-nucleotide non-coding RNA is filed under the name Bombyx mori (domestic silkworm). The record is from RNAcentral. Lineage: Eukaryota; Metazoa; Arthropoda; Insecta; Lepidoptera; Bombycidae.
ACUCCGAAAGGGCCCCGCCUCGCGAAUC